CACACGCCACGUGGGCAUAACAUUCGCAUGUCUACAUGCGACCGUUCGUCGUGCACUUGGCGAUCCAUCACGAUCAUUCAUAUCGCAUACUGAUCGAACGAACUAUCUAAAGGAACGGUUUCUCUAUUGUCCCAAUUUCGUUUGGCCUUUGCUUCCUGAGCUUGAACUCAAAUCCUAUUGGUGGUCUCGAAUGGUCUCCUUAUUCUAUCCCUCAUACUAUAUUACUACUACUAUCCAUCAUCAACGGUGGUAGCUCGUGCACAAUCAGGAAGGGAGAAAGGAACCUGUUAUCUCUUCUCGACCUAACAGUAACCAAUCGAGUCAGUUCUAGAAAGAGGAGCGGCUAUAGGAAAGGAGGCCUGAGGGAGGAGGUAAGCGGGAGGCGGCAAUAUUGUGCCGUGUGACAACAUUGUGCCGUGUGACAACAGAUUCGUACGAAGUUCCUCUCGGUAUUACUCACGGAUCACGGCAGGAUUUAACAUUUCGGUGUGUGCGGGGUGUGUGUUUGUUUGGUGAGCUACGGAAUGGGACGAUAGUACUGGUCCUGUGAUGAACCGAACCCGGAUCGGAGCCGGCUAUCGCACGGCUUAUAGUUGAACCUUGCAUUGUUAGCGUUUGCAUCAGCGGAAGUAGUAGUAGUAGUAGUGGAAGAAGUAGCAUUUCAGGUAAGCGUAAGUAGUUGACAAAUUCGCAUUCGCAUUCACGGAGCGUGAUGAUCGCGGAGCGAGUUGCAUAAAGAGACAACAGACAGGAAAUAGACAUUGAAAUAGAUAACAUUUAUGGUAUCAGGGCAGAGGGUAUAGAGCUAGAGAGUUGGUAAAAUGAUAUGAAGAACCAUGAAGCGUGGAAUGUUCGCGUUCGGCCAGAGGCUACAGAAAACGGUAGAAACCCACUAGGUGGAACUAACGAAUGAACGAACGAACGCACAACACAUCUCGCAAGCGAUUCCCAGAACAGGGAGUUCUUGUUUUAUGUAGAAACAGAACGUGCAGCAGGGUGCUUAACACACAGUCACAACAAACAACAUCCAUCGGUCACAACAUCUAAGUCAAGAAGCAAUGAGUAAACACCCCUAGAGGUAUGGGGUAUGUACAGCAGAGUGUGUUUGAAAAACGGACUGACGGUGCAGGGGAAUUGUCUGGUGCAAAACCUACCCAACAUCAAUCGAUGGAUACAACACAUCAUCACAAGACCCAUAAAACAAAAAUUAAGGACCAGGAUAACAGUAACGAGGUGUCGAAGCGUAAAACAAAACAAAAAUAAAUCGACAAAAAACCUCACGCAUUGCAAUAGCAAUUCUACCAUCAAUCGUACGGUGCAACUUAGCACUCGACACAUGGCCGGCCAGUGAACGACGAUAAAGAUGAACCCGUUACAGUAACCUGCAGUGCGAUAGUCUCUUCCGAAACGAAGAGCCAGAUGCAACGCUUCCAUUCGCCGUAUCGUCAACGACGGCAAGUACUUACUUCGGUGCUAUGUCAUUAUAGCGAGGAUCACGGCUAUGCGAGGGACUGCCUUCCUCGUAGUAGAUCUCACGACGAUCGCGAGACUCUCGGCGGCGGUCCUGCUUCUUGCGACGCUUGUUCUUUGGUCCGCUUUUCUACUUGUUAGGGGUGUCUUAAAUACAAUUCAACUCUUUGGAUAACGGUUGGCAUGCAGAGUGGAGAGUCUGAAACCUUGUGCAACAAUUGUGAAGGAAGAAUGAAGGUGAACUGUUGCUGAAUUGGCACUUACGAUUCUA
Molecule: long non-coding RNA, 1741 nt
Organism: Anopheles darlingi
Lineage: Eukaryota; Metazoa; Arthropoda; Insecta; Diptera; Culicidae
Exons: 4
Source: RefSeq, a predicted model, not a curated record